This is a long non-coding RNA of Quercus robur (English oak), 789 nucleotides long. RefSeq lists it as uncharacterized. The record is from RefSeq and is a predicted model, not a curated record. The transcript has 2 exons. NCBI's taxonomy places the organism in Eukaryota, Viridiplantae, Streptophyta, Magnoliopsida, Fagales, Fagaceae.
UAAAAUAUUUCUAAAAAUAAUUUUUAAACCAAUAAUACCCCUAAAACAUUUGGGUAUAUUUGGGUCAAUGGAAAAAUUGAGAAAGAAGAAGGGCAAAUUGGAAAUUCAACAAAUGGAACGAGUGGAUGAUGACAACUUAUCCUCACUUUCUCCCAAUGAACCCCACGUCGACCCAUUCUCUUAUCUUCUUCUCUUCUCCACCACUCUUUUGGAGGUUGCUUUCCAGCAAUCUUAUAUGGGAGCUCUAGAUUUUCCUCUCUAUUCUUGGCCGUCAUAAAAACAAAGGUUCCAUGGUACUUGGUGGUGGACCUAGUAAUUUGACUUGCUUGUGUAAUGUCCAACUGAGGUAAAUUGGUGAACUUUAUGAGGUAAGUAUAUCUUUAAUGGGGGUUUUUGUAAACAAUCAUUAUUGCACAUUUGCACUCAAUUAUUUUAUGGUUAAACCCCAAUUUGGAACAUUGUCCUUGGUUUUCCUAAAAUGUACUAUGUGUACUAUUCUUGUUAGUUAAUUGUUUAUGGAAAAUGCAGGAAACAUGGCCAGUAAAUUUAUAUUUGAAAUUGCAUAUAAAGAAAUGCAUGAUUUGUUGGCAUGGAAAUUCUAAAGAUGUUUUAUAUUGACUUGUGUUAUUUGGAAAAUUGAUAGAAAACUUCCUGACAAAGAAUGGUUUUGUGAACCUGUGGAAAUAUUGGUUCGUUUUGGAAACCUUGUGGAAAUAUUGGUUAUUGAAGGUUUUCUUGGAAUUACUUGGAAAUAUGUUAUGAAAUUUAAUUACAUCAUACUUGUGAGCU